GCCGGGCCUUCCCCGCGCUCCCCGGCGCCCCCAGCCCGCUGACCCCCGGCCAGGCAGGCCCGCGGGGGAGGCAGGACCGGAGCCCUGAGGCCCUGGCCGGCCUCGGGGUUGAGGCUCAGCUCGGGAUAAGUGAUCUUUGGGGCCCGCAGAGGACGUCUCCCCAAGACCCAGUGGCAACCGGGUGGCACGUACCUGCCUCUUCUUGGAGUAUGGACGAGUCGAACCGGGCACAAGCAUGGAGCUGCGGGUGAGUCCCGGCUGGCGCUGGCGCGGCGCAGUGAGCACCAGCUGACGAAGAGGGCUCCCCGGCCUCGGCUCCUGCCUGACUCUCUCCCACCUCCGCCGGGGGCCCAGAAGGGACCUCCCCGGGAAAUCGGCGCCACCCAGCGGGCAGCCGCCUCAUCGCGCCUGGGCCGGCAGAGCCACACCCCGCGUCUCGCGUCACUGAGUCGCGUCACGGCUAUUGGCUUGUUCCUACUGUGGCGUCAUUAGAGCCCGGCCUCCGGCUGGGGCCACCCAGGCAACCGAUAUACACAGAGAACCACGUGGAGGAAAAGCACGCGAGUUUGGAGCGGGUGGAGCAGGAACAGAGGUGGACUGGAAUGUCACACGACGGGGCAGCUGGAAGGGCACCACUGAGUUCAGUACUUCAAAAUUGCCGUGCUCUACCUCUCCCCAGUGCACAAAAACACUCUCCACACCAAGCUGCUGCUGCUGGGGGAUGGAGGGAUGGCGUCAGCGAUUCAAGACUGUUUUUCCUACCUGUUCAGCACUUCUUUCAGCGAUAUGAAGUUAAAUCCAGAGCAGCAAGAGGGAUCUUAUAAAAAUAUGACCAGAUCACAUCCUUCAACACUUCCCUGUUACCCUUACAAUAAAAUUCAAACUCUUCACCAUGACCUCCAAGGCUCCUAUUGAAUCCGGCUCUUGUCUGCCUCUUCAGUAACAUCAUGGACCACUCCUUACCAUUCCCUCCAUCUGGCUGUGCUUCCUGCAGCUCUUCCAAUGGCUGGCUUGUUCUCACCUUUGAAGUCUCAGCUCAAAGGACACUCCCUUGGGCUCUCCCUCAUCACCCUAACUAAUAGGUCACUUAAUAUUGUUAUUAUUUUUUAGAGACAAAGUCUCACUAUGUCACCCAGGCUUGCCUCAAACUCCUGGGCUCAAGCAAUUCUCCCACCUUGGCCUCUCAAAGUUCUAGGAUUACAGGCGUGAGCCACUAUGCCUGGCUAUGUCACUUAUUAUUCUUUAUUAUCUUCUAUAUAUAAAUGAUCCCAAUCUAUAAUUAUUUGAUUUAUUGAUUGGUUUACUUGCUUAAUAUCCAACUCCCAUACUAGAAUAUAAAUGUUAUAGAACAAGAGAUUGUCUGUACCAUCCACUGUUCUAGUCUCAUUACCCCACAUAAGGCCUGGCAUGGAGUGUGCACCUAAUAAAUGUUUGAAUAAA
Molecule: long non-coding RNA, 1440 nt
Filed under: Homo sapiens (human)
Lineage: Eukaryota; Metazoa; Chordata; Mammalia; Primates; Hominidae
Description: USP2 antisense RNA 1
Source: RNAcentral